GUGACGUUCAGUGGGUUCAGGGUUUGCAUUUGGCUUGCAGUCAGUUCUCCCUUUAACUAGCCUUUUAACUUGCCUUUUAUUUCAUCUUCUCUGUAACUCCCCUGUGGACAAAAGCGACAAAAUCAAAAAGUGCAAGAAAAGAGUAAAAUCCCUCCUAUAUCACAGGGAGGGUGAUACAUCAUGCAAGGUGGCUGCAGCACUUUGGAACAGCACGUUUUUCACAGUCCCUUCAUGAAAAUGAAGAUUUUUAAUCUCAGCGUUUUGAACAAGAGGAAAGGGUAAAUUUGGAAACAGUCGCCACAGAGCUGGGAAAAUAGGAGCUAAGGAUCAGUAGGAGCUGUAUUUGCUGUAUAAAUUCAGAGCACCCCAAAACCAUUUGCUCAGAAUAUUUCUUUUUUUCAGUCUUAGCUGUUUCUCUGCGCUCACGUGCUUCAAGUUACGGCUGUUUUUGGGCAGCCUCGUAGAUCUGUAGGUUGGGCAAAGAGACUGAACUUGCUAGGAAUGGAAAUAAUGAGCCUGCGAACCCCGACACGCUCUUUAAAAGGAAUGAAAUCUUACUCGCCUCCUAGAUAUCCAAGUAGUCUCCAGUCCGAAUGUUCCACAGCAGUUAAUCACAAGAAUAAUAAUAUUUGUGGUUACUAUGUCUGUAGCGGAGCCACCCUCGAAAGUUUGAGAAGAGACAGGCGCGGAGCGUUGUUUGGACUGACUUUGCUGUAGUUUCUUCUGCACAAACACAAAUCCAUCCCCUUCUGCAGCACAUGCUUGUGGAUGUGCAGAGCCACAGGGCUUUUGCUGAAGGCCAGAUGCUGCUCGGAUUGAAAGAAAAGCUGUUGAAUACUGAAGACCUCAUGCAAGUUUCAAUGGCCAGAGAGCCCAUCAGACCUCCUCCUCUGCUGUUCYUCUGCAAUCCAGACCCACACAAACUGCAAUGGCCCGGCCUGUUCCCGGAGGAAAAGCUCUUUAUUCCAGUGGAGGUAACUUUGUUAACAGAAACCAAACCAAUAGGUGGGAUUUGGAGAUGGUGGUGCCCUCCRAUCGCCACUGAGCUGGAGGUGCACGAGGCUGCUCUCAAAACAGCUUCCAAUUUUGAGCAUUUUGAGCAAGUUUCCAUCCUUGCAGGUCUCGUGUCCUGGAUGGAGGCCCUGCCCUGGCUUAUUCCUCAAAAGGACUUUCCUCUAGCUCUGCUUGAUUCACCUGUAAAGAAAACCAUUAAGGUCAUCACAGCAUAAUCUGUUUAAUUAGAGGUCAUUUUAUUAAUGUGUAUUAAUGGUUCAAGGACCAGGAUCUACGGAUUUAAGGACUCUAAAACAGUUGAAUUGUUUGGAAGGAUGCACUUCCCUAGAAGUAUUUCCUGCUUUCCCUAGGAUACCUAAUUAAUACAUCUGCUGUCUUUAACAGCUUUUCCCACUCAUAACAUUUGCAGAAUUGUAGUAAUAUUCUUGUUUUGCCUGUCCUCAGCAGAAUUCAUUUACUUGCAUCUCAUCAAAUCUGGGCCUUUUAGACUCCCGUGACCUGUUCAAGGUCCAACAUGAUGCAUUAACAGCAAAGGUGGCAAAUUUUGCACACAUUUCCUAGAUUCCCUUUUUUUACUCUUAUUUUGCGAGUUGUGCUAAUGCUCUGAUAAAAACCCAGUUAACUUUGUUAUCUGUUCAAGUGACCCGUCUUUGCUGCAUGUUGAGUGCUUGAUUUCAUCAGCAUCUUAUGACAACUGCCAUACUUUAAUUAAUGAACUAGUUUUUGCUGCCUGUCUCGUUAAGUUUAUGUUUCUGAGAUAUGAGAACAGACAUAUGGCAUAGGCUUUUUCAGUGCU
Long non-coding RNA from Nothoprocta perdicaria, 1810 nucleotides. RefSeq lists it as uncharacterized. The record is from RefSeq and is a predicted model, not a curated record. The transcript is spliced from 2 exons. Lineage: Eukaryota; Metazoa; Chordata; Aves; Tinamiformes; Tinamidae.